This is a long non-coding RNA of Bombus terrestris (buff-tailed bumblebee), 1554 nucleotides long. RefSeq lists it as uncharacterized. The transcript has 2 exons. NCBI's taxonomy places the organism in Eukaryota, Metazoa, Arthropoda, Insecta, Hymenoptera, Apidae. The record is from RefSeq and is a predicted model, not a curated record.
CGAGAAUUUUUAAAAGCACGUAAUACCUAGUUAUUUGGUUACUGAUUUCUUUUCCCGUAGAUUGUCAAAUAAAAAAAAAAUAUAUAUAUAUAAAGGAAAGAAUAAAGGGCAAAAGAAACUAGCACCCCGGUGUCAGUGUUCCGUCUUGAUCCAAAUGUAAUAUAUUUUCGGGCGUGCUGUAGAAUUUUAGUAAUUACAGCGACUACAAAAAAUAUUUGUACAUAUCCUCAUUUUUCAAUGAAGCGAUCUUUUACUAGAUUCUACAUUUCAUUAUGGUAGUAUCAAAUUGUUUUAAUCAUAUGAAAGUAUUUGCUCUUGAACGAUAUGCAAUUUAUUUUAGUUGGAUCUAAUUAACUAGUAUAUAAAUCAUAAUAGAUAAGUACAAUGGGACACAAAUACUUCUUGUAGUCACUGUAGUUUAUGUGUACCAUAAGAUAAAAACAGUUGAAAAUUGCUGUUAUACAGUCGCGGGUGCCUCGUUUUACCAUCAGACUAUCUUUUUCCCUUCUUUUUCACUGGUCCCUUCUUCUUCUACUACUAUUUCCCUGGAAUGUUUCCUGCCGCUAAAUGCUCAGUAACAUUCGUACCUUAGUUUGCGCUUCACUGGACAUCUUUCUCUUGAAUGUGAUACGAUGCUCUUGUCAACGUUUCGCGACUAUUCCCUUGCGUUCCUAAGGACUCCAGUUUAAAAAAGUAGCGGAAGUGUUGAGUACAUAGUGGCGUCAUUUUUAAAUUUUUGAAAUGGCGCACAGUGCGGCAUUUGUAUGAGGAUUCAGGACAAAAAUCAAAAUUCACUGGUCACGUUUGCACGUUCACAGGCAAUGUUCGCACGUUCGCAGGCCACGUUUGCAAAUCAAAUACGUACGGUUUGUAGAACAGGUUCCUACAUUCGUAGACCACGUUCGCAGGCCACGUUCGCAGGCAAUAUUCGCACGUUCGUACGUUGUCACGUGGCAUUGUAUCGUAAAAGAAAUAGUACUUCUGUUGAAAAAAGGAUCCCAUUUUACAAAUCGAGUAAAAAAAAUUGAGUUCUUAAAGCCAUUUAUCCUUUCAUACUAUAUUUUCUCUACCUCUGCUUAUCACAUUCUAUAAGUAUAAUAUAUUUAACAUAUUAUCAAUUCCAUUACAAUAUUAUUCACAGGAAACAUUAAUCUAUUUUCGUAUCUUAUAUUUCGUUUUACGAUAUUAUGAGAUUUUUUCACGGCCUAUCUAGGAAGCUUUUAAAUAAUAUCCAUUCAAAUGCAUAUAAGCUAUCCAGUUGACAAUAUGUUAAUUAUGAUUACGUAUACAAUGUGUCAUAAAUACCACGUGAAUGAACAAUGGACAACAAAUGAGCCACUCAAAAUUCUGAUCAACUUCUCAUACACUAAGAAAACCGAGAAAAGUGGUGAUGUUGCAAACGUAAUUUUUUCAAAUUUAUCUUGCAAUUUACAAUUACGCAUCUCAUCUUGCUGUAAAUAAACUCAUCAUUGUGUAGCUCAUUUGUCUUUUUAUAUUAUUUAAAUAUUAGCUAUGUACCCGAAUAAUGAAAUUAAUAAAUGUAUAAAAAGUAAA